UACGGAGGAUGCGAGCGUUAUCCGGAUUUAUUGGGUUUAAAGGGUGCGUAGGCGGACGCUUAAGUCAGCGGUAAAAUUGCGGGGCUCAACCUCGUCGAGCCGUUGAAACUGGGUGCCUUGAGUGGGUGAGAAGUACGCGGAAUGCGUGGUGUAGCGGUGAGAUGCAUAGAUAUCACGCAGAACUCCGAUUGCGAAGGCAGCGUACCGGCGCCCAACUGACGCUGAAGCACGAAGGCGUGGGUAUCGAACAGG
RNAcentral lists this ribosomal RNA (252 nucleotides) under uncultured bacterium. Its description in RNAcentral is "partial 16S ribosomal RNA". It matches the Rfam family "Bacterial small subunit ribosomal RNA", at positions 524 to 776 of the family's 1533-position model. The record is from RNAcentral.